AAGGUGUUUCAAAAAUGUACUGAGUAAAGGGUCUGAAUACUUAUGUAAAUGUGAUAUUUCCGCUUUUUAAUUGUAAUAAAUGUGUUUAAAAGUUUUUGAUUUGUCAUUUUGGUGUGUUGUGUGUAGAUUGAUAUGGGAAAAAGUCAAGGGGUCUGAAUUCUUUCUGAAUACACUGUAUCUGUCAUUGUUUGUAUUUACAGGGCAGCUGUUACAUGCGCCGAUAGGCAGCCUUGCGAACCAGGGCUGAUAUGGCUGACUUUAUAGUUAACAUGAGUCUACUCUCCCAGGCUGUGUCACAGCUGAACGUCACCGGGAGCGGCGUAAAAUUGGCACAGCGUCAUCCGAGUUGGUGGUUGACCUGUUGCGCUCUAGCAACUCCUUGUGGCGGACCGGGCGUCUGUAAACUGACUUCAGUCGCCAGCUGGAUUGGUAAGGCUGGCUUCCGGGUUAAGUGAGCAGUGUGUCCAGGACCAGUGCGGCUUGGCAGGGUGGUGCUUCGAAGGACGCAUGGCUCUCAACCUUCUCCUCUUCCGAGUCCAUAGGGAAGUUUCAAUGACGGGACAAGAUCUUAGCUACCAAUUGGAUAUCAUGAAAUUUGGGAGAAAAGGGGGUAAAAGUAACACAAAUACAUACAGUAUAUAAAAUACUAAAAAAUAACAUGAGUCUACACCAGACUCUGUGGAUUUGUGUAGCUCUAAGAACGGCGUUCUCCUUUAGUAGACUUUCUGGAAGGUUCUAUAUUUAUUUUCUUAGUCAACCUUGUGUUCUGUUUCAUUGUGUUCUUGAACGUAGCCCUGUUUCUUUGUGUUCUUGAACAUAGCCCUUUCUUUCAUUUUUGUUAAUUGAUUUCACCUGUGUUAGUUACUCAUUUAGUCUCAUCAGCUCCUUAUUUAGUUCAGUUCAUUCUGUUUGUGCCUUUGUGAGGUAUUGUUCGUUUUGACUCUACUAAGCCUUUUCCUAGCUCGUUUGUGAGAACCAGUUCUCGCCUCCAGUCCUAGUUUUGAUUCAACUGCCUGUUUGCCUACCUGUGUAUGACCAUUGCCUGCCUGUGACCACGAUUCCUGCCUUCUGUGAAGGCGAAAUAAACACCUGCCGCGCUCUGCA
Molecule: long non-coding RNA, 1104 nt
Organism: Oncorhynchus kisutch (coho salmon)
Lineage: Eukaryota; Metazoa; Chordata; Actinopteri; Salmoniformes; Salmonidae
Exons: 2
Source: RefSeq, a predicted model, not a curated record